GGGCCCGCACAAGCGGAGGAACAUGUGGUUUAAUUCGAUGAUACGCGAGGAACCUUACCUGGGCUUAAAUGUAGGCUGCAUGGAGUGGAAACAUUCCUUCCCUUCGGGGCUGCUUACAAGGUGCUGCAUGGUUGUCGUCAGCUCGUGCCGUGAGGUGUCGGGUUAAGUCCCAUAACGAGCGCAACCCUUACCGUUAGUUGCCAUCAGGUAAAGCUGGGGACUCUGGCGGGACUGCCACCGUAAGGUGAGAGGAAGGUGGGGAUGACGUCAAAUCAGCACGGCCCUUAUGUCCAGGGCUACACACGUGUUACAAUGGCCGGUACAAAGGGCAGCUACCCCGCGAGGGGAUGCGAAUCUUCAAAGCCGGUCUCAGUUCGGAUUGGAGUCUGCAAUUCGACUCCAUGAAGUUGGAUUCGCUAGUAAUCGCGCAUCAGCCAUGGCGCGGUGAAUACGUUCCCGGGCCUU
This 465-nucleotide ribosomal RNA is filed under the name uncultured bacterium. RNAcentral's name for it is "bacterial SSU rRNA". It matches the Rfam family "Bacterial small subunit ribosomal RNA", at positions 917 to 1382 of the family's 1533-position model. The record is from RNAcentral.